UCAUAAUGGUUUUUAUUGCUUUGCCCAUGACGCACAUCGACUGCUAUUUGUGAGAGUGGUGGAGUGAGGCUGUUGCUUCGAGGGGUCGUGCCUAAAAUGUCGUGUGCGCGGGACUGCGGGAGGCAACACUUGCGUUUUCUAGCCAUGUAAAAACAUGGGUUUCCGCAAGCGUGCAACUCACCCCAGUCGCAUUUCCUCUACUUCACCGCCCCAUUCUUCAAUGCAGUGUAGAGCUCCGGGCAUAUUUUACCAUAUUCGCCACCAUCCGCCUCCGAGCUUGCCAUGGCAUCCAAAUACGCAUCUUUUUCCACCACCGGUUGUCCAACCAAGAAGGCCAAGAAGGCGGCCGAUGCUGACACGAAGGAGGCACUGGUGGCGAUGCGGAGGAAGUGCGCCGUCUUCUUCCCCUCUGUCCUCCUGUUGAGCGACCUCGCCUCGAGGUACACUUUGAUGUGGGGGAGGGCAACCAAGGCGCACCCGGUGCCGGAGGUGCUCCCACGCUAUUCAAUCCCGUCAUUAAGAAGUACUCGUUCUUUGUGACGUACUUCUACUGCGGUUUGGUUCCCCCUUCUGUGCUUUCUUCGUAGAUCUGAUUUUGACCUACGACUUCCGUUUACCAGAGUUCAUGCCAAACGCAGUGACCACCAUGUUCAUUUUCACACAUCUGUGCGAAAAACUUCAUAGAAGUAGUCCCGAACAUCUCCCUCUUCCUCCAUUUCUUCUAUCCGCGCAUAGAGGCCGAGGAUGCUUGCUCGAGCAGCAUCACAUGGAUCUCUCGUGCCUCAAAAAAGUAGGUGUAUCCCACCAGCAACCUGCACAAGAAGUGGGAAGUAUGUCGGGCCGAUUGGUGCUACAUCGUCGACAUGGUGCCUCCAUCCUUUUUUGAGGUGUGUAAAUCGAAGCCCGUACACAAGGACAAAUGGAGAGCCCUUGCCCCGGACGACGAGAAGUUGGGUAUCACCAUUGACCACAUGCUCUGGCUGAGGGCUGUUGGGCUAACCAUAGAGAUGGUGGGCUCUGAUAUUAUUGCCAGAUGCAUCGCUCUCAUCCAGGAUAGGAAGCGUUUUUCCUUGGAGUAUGUUGGGCUUGCCAACGCCUUGCGGUUAAGCCCCAUGCUCAAUGGUGACCUGACCUACCUACAACUUGUCUUCUUCCGCCACCAGCUAGUCCAUUCAGACGACAAGUUCAUACUCCCUCCGUCUGUGAUCCCUCUUUACAACAACUCUUGCAAGGACGCGAUAGUGGCGACGAUGUCGGCAUGUUACGCGCACGUGUUGGAACCUAUGUGGUGAGCCCCAACGAAGGAGGUGGUUCAGGCAUGGUUCGACAACCUGACGGAGGCACUGUUAGGGAUGAUGGGCCGAUGAUCAAUGUCACCACCAAAGCGGAAGUUAACUUCAUGGGGAAGUCGGACGUUGAGGUGGGCCUUGGCGUGGGCGGCAGCAGCUCGAGGGCUGCCGCGCUUCGUGAAAAAGAAGAGGAGGAGGAAGCCCAUAAAGUGGGGCAUGACGAAGACCCGCCAACAUAGGGCUAGCCGGAGGAGCCCAACAACGCUAAGGGUGUCGGGGCCGUAGGUGACAAGGUUGUCACGGAGAUGGAGCUUGAGGACCCCUUGGUUCGCGAUGUCCCUAAGAGAGCGUGCGUGCUCCUCAUGGCCGGUAUAGGGUAGUUGGUCCAUCGCACUCCUCCCCGGAGGUCGAGGACCAAAAGGAGGAGUAAUAGGAGGACCCUGCUGCCAAUGUCUUUCGGCCACGGGGGACUAAGUGGACUGGCGCCACGUUCCCGGCAAGCACUUCUGGUGAGCCAGCAGGGCAUUCCAGAGUGCCUACUCCGCCACCUGCCCCUCCCCCUACUAGAAGGGGAUGUUAAACUUGUCGUCUUUCAGCUCGGGAGCAAAGGAUGAUGAGUAAGCACUACUCCUUUUAAUUCUUGUAGCACUCUCGCUUCUUUUCUUGCCAAAUCUUGUUGCCGAUGUCGAUUUUGUAGAGACGAGGAGAACUUUGCACAACAGAUGGCUAGGUGGACCAAUCCGGCAUCAGUAGUAGAGGGCGCGAGGAGCUCGCAGGUGGAGCACGAGCUUGUUGUCGUCAGUUCCCCCGACAACCCCGACCUGGAGGCACCAUCCCAGGACCCGGUAGACGCGGGCACAUGCAUCGGCACCACUGAUUAAGCCCCUCCGCAGAUGGGGACAGAGCGGCUGGGAGCAUCUCAUGGCCAUCCAACUUGGAGGAGAGCCCCCUGGUGGGAGCUACCGUCGAUGUGCUUACCCUUGCCGAAGAUGCACUAGUGCAUGGGGCCACAGACUGUAGUACGACAAUGACAGAUGUCACCGCAGGAGGCGAGGUGCCUCCUCGAUGGGAGUCCCUGGCUAAGUGUUAUUUUCUUCUAGAAUCUUCACAUAUGUUUUCUUGUUUUAUCUUCUUGAACUUAUUAUUAGCCUAAUUUUCUACUCCCAGGUCAACCCCUGUCGAGAGAACUCGAUACUAACGUCAACAUCGAGGUAACCGCCAAUGAAGCGAUCGAGGAAGCGACUCUGAUCACGGCUGAAGAGGACGCCACCCAUCGCGGCCAAGGGACACUGGCUAGCAGGCCCUCAAGGGUUCGUCCUUGGAGACGGAGGUAAGUGCCCCGGAGGCAUCUGCCCCAGGAACGUCGACGACGGGUCUUUCCUUCUCGCUAGGGACCAUAGGCUUGUUCGCCGCUGGUCCAUCGACGUUGACGGAGCCAGAGGUAAGUGUACCGGAAGAUUGACGAUUUGAAGUUCGCCAGCUUCCCCGGUGACGCGGUCUUCAAAGCUUUCUCUGAAGGGACCGGGUGACUGUUGAUAUGGUAAACACCACUCCCACGGGAGAGUUGACAAUCGAUGCCCUCGGUGGGAGUGAUGAGGCCAAAGAACACGCCAUCAUCCCCUCCUUGGGCAAGGAUUUCCGGAAUCUGAAGGCACUCUUUGUUAGGCUGACCAUAGUGGAAGUAACUAAGGUAGUAUCAUGCACUUGGGACUAGCAAACAUGCUGAUGUGGCAGACAAUUAAAGAAGAGAGAGAGGGUUAGAGUGACAUAGGUCGAUACCGUAACAUAUUAAAUGCUAUGCUACUAUGUGUUAUGCAUGUCAAUAAAUAAGGUCAUUUAUGAUACUACUUUAUGAUACUAUGCACUAUGAAGGUAGUAUCAUACAAUAGUAUCAUAUGCAUGAUACUACUAUAUGAUACUCCCCACUAUGACCAGCCUUAGUCGCUCGAAGAAGAUGGACCAUCGGGAGGCUCUUCUUGCAGCAGCGGAGGAUAAAUUCCGGGUGCAUAUUCCCGAUAUGCAGUCCUAUUGUAUGGAGAGCCGCAAGGAUUUCUCUAGCCAGUAGGUCGAGCUUGCCAAGGCCAAAGUUGACCUCAAAAAUCAAAAGGCCGAGGCAAAGAAAAUAUGGACGGAGACAAAAGAUCUCUUCGCCAACACGGAGGCGAAGCAAACAUCACGCAAGAUCUCGCUAUCUACUGGCAAGAGGAGGAGCUCGCCUCUCAUGAAAAGGCUCUUGUCCACAAGCUUGAGGCUGGAUUGGGUAAGCAAAUCUAAGAGCUGGAGUCAAAUCAGAAGGACGCCAUUGAGAGGGAGCUACCGAGCACGCCAACAAGCUCCAAGAGGCCGUCAAUGCCACCGAAGCCGCUCAAUCCUCCAAGGCUGAGCUAGAAGACAAGGUACGGCGGCUAGAACAGGACCUCGCUGCUUCUAAGCAGGAGACCUUGAAGCUGUUGGAUGACGUCCAGAAGGGGAUCCAGGCCUUGGUGGAUCUCCAAGUGAGGCUCGCUCACAAGGCCAAGGAGCUGAAGGUUGCCGUGUCAGCCAAUGCUCACCGGAGCACGAGGGUGAGUACCCAUGAAGGCAGUCUCAAAGUUGUCCAACGCGGGGAAUGCAGUUUGCUUGAGGAACUCCAGAAGGAUAAGGAAUUGCUUUCUUCUACCACAGAAGUCUGAAACAAACUCCAGGAGAGUGUUGGGUUGUGGAUGGACCAGCUCGUCAGCAUUGCCGGUAGGCUCUCUACCGAGCUUGUAAAGAUGUGCUUGGAGGAGUGCACCUUUUCCAACGACACCAAGGAGAUGACGAGCGCGCACCUAUCCAUGUUCCUCACAAAGCUCAUCCACGUCUUGGCAAAGUAUAAAGCGGGCGGGCUGACAAAUUCCUCAGUGGCUGCCGUGAGCUGUGUUAUGAGGUCCUCCACAAGGUCUUGCUGAGGUCACCCAUCAUAGCCCUAUUCUAUACCUAAUAAUAAAGCGGCUAUUGUUUCCGUUAGAAAACCCACCGCGGCAUUUUUGUAAAAAGCCCCUGCAAUUUUUAUAAAAAACGAUUCGGGAACACCAGCCGCACAUCCCUUCCUUAUCCAGUCCUCCCGACCGCGCCACCAACACUCUCGUUGCCAGCCACGGAUCGCACCGCCGCCGCCCCUCUCCAACCACGCCUCGCCCCGCUCAUCCUAUCCUCCCGAGCGUGCCACCAACGCUCCCGUCGCUAGCCACGGAUCGCGCCGCCCCCGCCCCCCCCUCUCCAAUCACUGCCUCGCCCCGCCCAUCCUGUCCUCCCAAUCGCGCCACCAACGCUCCCGUCGCUAGCCAUGGACCGUGCCGCCGCCGCCCCUCUCCAACCACGCCUCGUCGAGGCUCUGAUUGGGGGAAGACGGUGAGGAGGAUGACGAGGUCCGAGAGGAGAGGUUGGAGGGAUGGACGCGUGAGUCGAGCCGCCACGACCUCCUCCUCCUCUCUCUGUGCUUGAUCUCGAUCCGUGUACAUCUUCUUUUGGCGCCUCCCCGCACAUUCACUCCCACUCCAGAUGCAGGUCUUCCUCUCGACGACGACGACGGUGCCAAAGGGCCCCACAUCCCAACCGGAAGGCAGAACGCUAGACCCAGAUCCCCUCCCUCUGCAGCUAGAGUGACUCCAACCCCUCCCAGUCGUACGCCGGAGGACGAGGCCCUGGAUUCCGUCAGCGAGUAGGAGCCAACGGUUGAGGUUGAGGAGGAGGUCUGGGAGUACGUGAAGCCGUCGGAGAAAGCCAAGGUGUAUGUGUGCAACCUUCCCUACAACGUCAGCAGUGAGUGCCUCGCGCAGCUCUUGGGUCAGGCUGGCGUCGUUCAGGUUUCCAAGGUGAGCAACUCUUCCUCUUUGACCAUCUUGACCGCUGGAUGCUAGCAAAAGGUAACCCACAUUGUAGAUGUUGUUAGCCCGCUGUUGCUAUUGUUCCUCUGUACACACAUGCACAUUUGCCUGAUGAAGAAAAUGCCUCAAAUCAUCCAACUUUGAUUAUGUGUCGUGCUCUUGCAAGAAUGAAACCGAUACAUUCAGUUCUGUAUCGUAAUGAUGCUCGAUUUAAUGUGGUGGUUGUGUCGUGAAAGUCACAUGAUGAAGUGUUUAUGCACAACUGAAGUUGACACAUUUAGUUUUGCAUCUAUCGAACAACCUUCAAAACUUCUGAAAGAAAAGAGCUGGAGAACCAUCCUGUAGGCUCUCCUUUACUCCCAACAUAUUAUUUCGCAUCCAAAACUUCUGAUAAACGUAACAGGUUCCAAUGCAAUUUCACUUGCUAGAAGUUAUUAUUCAGGUUGUCAUCAUACUAUAUCAACUUCAAGUUUUAUUUUAUAUGAUCUCAAGUAGUCAAUAUCCGAGCCCGAGCACUCCAAUUACUGCAGGGGGAGGAUUUCCACAAUAUCCCUGGGUUGGUUAACCUAUUUGGAAUAUAAUUCCCUUGUAUGACGUCAAGCAUUGUCAACUCUAUAACACAUUGUAUCGACUAUCAAGAUAAUAUCACACUUGAUUCUCAGACAAUAAUUGUUUCAUGAAUUGCAACAGGGUGAACAGAUAUGUGCGGACCUUGUCAUGUGAAUCACAUUGCUUACAAUGAUUUCAUGAUUAAGAUCUCAGAUUUAACAGUUGUAUUUCUUUUUUUUCGGAGAAGAACAAGAUGCAGCUUGUAAAGGUGUGCCUUUAGAAGUUUAGCUAAAUAAACCGAAUAUAUCUACUGCAAGUUGGUGUAUAGGAAAGUGGAUCCAUGCAUAGUUUUUGUAUUAUAUACAUAGUUAACUCAAUACUGAUUUCCUUUUCUUGAUUUGGAGUGAGUGUGUUUGCUUGACUCAGCGUCCGUAUGAUUGGUCUCAUAUAUGAAUUAUGCUAUUUCUAUCCUUGAAAGUACGUAAUAAAUCUAGAGUUCAGUUUGAGUUAUGCAUGUACUGAAUCCUCAUUUUCUUAUUUGUAACUCCCAUUUGGUAGACCUGAUCUGUCACAUGCACAACACCAACUAAGGAAUCGAAAGGCC
Molecule: long non-coding RNA, 6290 nt
Filed under: Hordeum vulgare
Lineage: Eukaryota; Viridiplantae; Streptophyta; Magnoliopsida; Poales; Poaceae
Description: long non-coding RNA (HVUL_LNC004165)
Source: RNAcentral